This is a long non-coding RNA of Hydra vulgaris (swiftwater hydra), 620 nucleotides long. RefSeq lists it as uncharacterized. The record is from RefSeq and is a predicted model, not a curated record. Lineage: Eukaryota; Metazoa; Cnidaria; Hydrozoa; Anthoathecata; Hydridae.
UCAUAUUUUCUUUAAACAUAUUUAUUUGCUCUUUAUAUGCUUACAAAUAAUUUAUUUAAAAAAAUUAUAUACUAAUUUACUAAACCGUUUUAUUUCAAUCAAUUAUUUGACUAACUUUUAUAUUUUUCAAAGAAUUUUUAUAGUAUAUUAUACUGCGCUAUUGUUUUUUUUUGUAUGGUGAAAACUAUGUUUAAUGUGCAAACUAUAUUUUAGUUUAUCAAAAUAUAUUUUUAUUGAUGUGUUCUGUCUCUGAUUCUUUCUUUUUCAGAUGUGCACUUGUGUCUUAGGCUUAUGGUUUGCAAAAGGUUCAUCAUUGCCCUUAAGUUGCUGUGGGUUUUACGGUUUUACUUCUAACCUGGCAUAUAAAUGCACUUAGUAUCUGAAGUUAUUUGUCAAUAACUGGUGAUCAGACUAUUAAACGAACACGUUUUUAAGGGCUGAGAAGGUGAAAGUUAGAAGUCUGCAGACUGCAACGUAAAUCAAUUUUCAUCACAUGGUUUCCUGAAUAUAUUUAGUUUUUGAUUGAAAUGAGAAUAAACUGAACUUAUAGAUAUGUUGAAAAUUAACUAUUUUAUAUUUUAAACGUUCGCUAAUCGCAAGUGAAGCAAUAAUCUAUAGAU